RNAcentral lists this unclassified non-coding RNA (331 nucleotides) under soil metagenome. RNAcentral's name for it is "partial contains 5.8S ribosomal RNA, internal transcribed spacer 2, and large subunit ribosomal RNA". The stretch from base 1 to 120 matches the Rfam family "5.8S ribosomal RNA", at positions 35 to 154 of the family's 154-position model. The record is from RNAcentral.
GAUGAAGAACGUAGCAAAAUGCGAUAAGUAAUGUGAAUUGCAGAAUUCAGUGAAUCAUCGAAUCUUUGAACGCACAUUGCGCCCGCCAGUAUUCUGGCGGGCAUGCCUGUUCGAGCGUCAUUUCAACCCUCAAGCACAGCUUGGUGUUGGGACUCGCGUUAAUUCGCGUUCCCCAAAUUGAUUGGCGGUCACGUCGAGCUUCCAUAGCGUAGUAGUAAAACCCUCGUUACUGGUAAUCGUCGCGGCCACGCCGUUAAACCCCAACUUCUGAAUGUUGACCUCGGAUCAGGUAGGAAUACCCGCUGAACUUAAGCAUAUCAAAAGCGGAGGA